UGGGAUAUAGUGUAAUUGGUAACACAACAGGUUUUGAUCCUGUUAUUCAAGGUUCGAGUCCUUGUAUCCCAUCCA
This 75-nucleotide transfer RNA is filed under the name Paracoccaceae bacterium. RNAcentral describes it as "Rhodobacteraceae bacterium (marine metagenome) tRNA-Gln". It matches the Rfam family "tRNA". Rfam says of the family: Transfer RNA (tRNA) molecules are approximately 80 nucleotides in length. Lineage: Bacteria; Pseudomonadati; Pseudomonadota; Alphaproteobacteria; Rhodobacterales; Paracoccaceae. The record is from RNAcentral.